UACAGAGGGUGCAAGCGUUGUUCGGAAUUAUUGGGCGUAAAGGGAGUGUAGGCGGCCAGAUAAGUCUUCUGUGAAAGCUACGGGCUCAACCUGUUAAAGUGCAGAAGAUACUGUUUGGCUUGAGUGUCGAAGAGGAUAGUGGAAUUCCCGGUGUAGAGGUGAAAUUCGUAGAUAUUCGCAAGAACACCAGUGGCGAAGGCGGCCAACUGGACCAAUACUGACGCUGAGGCGCGAAAGCGUGGGGAGCAAACAGG
This 254-nucleotide ribosomal RNA is filed under the name uncultured bacterium. RNAcentral describes it as "partial 16S ribosomal RNA". It matches the Rfam family "Bacterial small subunit ribosomal RNA", at positions 524 to 776 of the family's 1533-position model. The record is from RNAcentral.